GACGUCACGGCGGCGGCUGCCGGGAGCCCCCGGGCCGGGACGGCUCCGGCCGGGCCCCGCGGGCCUUGCGUGGCUCCGGCAUCCCCCGCCAUGCGCAGCGGGGAGUCCCGGGGAGCUCCGGGCUGGCUAGCUGGAAUGGAAGCGCCGUAGCGAGCUGGCUCUUAGAAAGGCUGAAUGCUUGGAGUCAGUCACAGAAAAUUUGCUGCUGUCACAUCAUCUCUUGCCUUGGAGCCCGGCUCAGGCUUACAGUAAUUCGUGUUGCACAUCACAGUAAGCAGCUCCAGGUGUCAACUGAGCAAAGUCCAGAUCAGCUGCAGUUAUUCCAGAGUAUGCGUCCACAUGCAGAAUAUUCCAGAACAGACAAAUCCUAAACCUGUAUGGAUCCAGGGUUGCCCUUACCAUUCCUGGAGCUCUCCACUUCCUGCUUUUCCUGUUGCUUUCUGCAGCCAGCUUCACAAAACCCAAACAGGAAUAAUGGGUAAAAUAAAUAUUUCCAGCUGAGGAUUCUGCUUCCAGGUUCAGUAGUAAAUGGUAAUUAUUAGUCAAUAUGCACAAACUACUUCAUUUCCUUAGCACAUCAGGCCACACUGGAGGUAAAGCAUAACUUGGGAAAUGGGUUGCAUAUCUCGUUCUGAGCACAAGAUGCCAAGGAAAACACUGGAGCACACAAACCAUAACAUCU
This is a non-coding RNA of Lonchura striata (white-rumped munia), 682 nucleotides long. Lineage: Eukaryota; Metazoa; Chordata; Aves; Passeriformes; Estrildidae. The record is from RefSeq and is a predicted model, not a curated record.